This 425-nucleotide ribosomal RNA is filed under the name uncultured bacterium. RNAcentral's name for it is "partial 16S ribosomal RNA". It matches the Rfam family "Bacterial small subunit ribosomal RNA", at positions 354 to 796 of the family's 1533-position model. The record is from RNAcentral.
GUGGGGAAUCUUGCGCAAUGGGCGAAAGCCUGACGCAGCCAUGCCGCGUGAAUGAUGAAGGUCUUAGGAUUGUAAAAUUCUUUCACCGGGGACGAUAAUGACGGUACCCGGAGAAGAAGCUCCGGCUAACUUCGUGCCAGCAGCCGCGGUAAUACGAAGGGGGCUAGCGUUGCUCGGAAUUACUGGGCGUAAAGGGCGCGUAGGCGGACAGUUUAGUCAGAGGUGAAAGCCCAGGGCUCAACCUUGGAAUUGCCUUUGAUACUGGCUGUCUUGAGUACGGGAGAGGUGAGUGGAACUCCGAGUGUAGAGGUGAAAUUCGUAGAUAUUCGGAAGAACACCAGUGGCGAAGGCGACUCACUGGCCCGUUACUGACGCUGAGGCGCGAAAGCGUGGGGAGCAAACAGGAUUAGAAACCCUGGUAGUCC